Molecule: ribosomal RNA, 229 nt
Filed under: uncultured bacterium
Lineage: Bacteria
Description: partial 16S ribosomal RNA
Rfam family: Bacterial small subunit ribosomal RNA
Source: RNAcentral
UCCGUAGGUGGAUAAUUAAGUCAGAGGUGAAAUCCUGCAGCUCAACUGUAGAAUUGCCUUUGAUACUGGUUAUCUUGAGUCAUUAUGAAGUGGUUAGAAUGUGUAGUGUAGCGGUGAAAUGCAUAGAUAUUACACAGAAUACCGAUUGCGAAGGCAGAUCACUAAUAAUGUACUGACACUGAGGGACGAAAGCGUGGGGAGCGAACAAGAUUAGAUACCCUGGUAGUCC